CACAUAUUAAGACAAAACUUUAAGCAUCAGAUUGAAGUUUGAGAGUCCUCCACAUUUCUCUGAACCUUCAGAUCAGCGUAGGUGAGUGACCCACUAUUAUCUUCCACAUUAUCCUGGGCUGAAAUACUCUAAUAUUCAGUAGCUUUCAGUUACCAUAGAUUACUAAAAAAAAAAAAAAAAAAAAAA
Gopherus evgoodei (Goodes thornscrub tortoise) is the source of this 186-nucleotide long non-coding RNA. RefSeq lists it as uncharacterized. The record is from RefSeq and is a predicted model, not a curated record. The transcript is spliced from 2 exons. Lineage: Eukaryota; Metazoa; Chordata; Testudines; Testudinidae.